GGCACCGGCGAACAUCACAUUGUUUCUAUUGCUCAGAGAGAACGCACGCGCGUUGAUUUAAAAACAAACAGAGUAAUUAUCGAUCGACAAAGAUGUAUACAAAUCCGUUUGAGAGAAAACACUCUGCAUUGAGGCAAGCGUUAGACAAGUUUAUCAGAGGAGAAACGAGAAUUAGCUUCAGGAAGAAGAGCAGUCUCUCGAAAAGCAUCAGCAGCAACUCAUCCAUGUCUUCUUCAAGUAGCAACGAGAGUAUCCUUAAGUUUUUUGGAAAACGAUGAAAAUUGUGUAUGGUGCAGUGUUUUGUGCUAAUUUGCAGUGGCCCGCUCAUAAAAAUGGUCGAGUCGGGUCAUUUGAACUGGUUACGUGACGUCAAUGCCAUGAGUAGCUCCACAUCUAUUCACAUCGGUGUUAUUAGUCGGCGUAUUAUAAAAACCGCUAUGUACUUUGGUUGAGAUGGGUAUCAAAUAAAUUAUUAAUACUGUGAUAA
This is a long non-coding RNA of Pararge aegeria (speckled wood butterfly), 487 nucleotides long. RefSeq lists it as uncharacterized. The record is from RefSeq and is a predicted model, not a curated record. Lineage: Eukaryota; Metazoa; Arthropoda; Insecta; Lepidoptera; Nymphalidae. The transcript is spliced from 2 exons.